This 233-nucleotide ribosomal RNA is filed under the name uncultured bacterium. RNAcentral's name for it is "partial 16S ribosomal RNA". It matches the Rfam family "Bacterial small subunit ribosomal RNA", at positions 102 to 334 of the family's 1533-position model. The record is from RNAcentral.
CACGGGUGAGUAACACGUAUCCAACCUGCCGUCUACUCUUGGACAGCCUUCUGAAAGGAAGAUUAAUACAAGAUGGCAUCAUGAGUUCACAUGUUCACAUGAUUAAAGGUAUUCCGGUAGACGAUGGGGAUGCGUUCCAUUAGAUAGUAGGCGGGGUAACGGCCCACCUAGUCUACGAUGGAUAGGGGUUCUGAGAGGAAGGUCCCCCACAUUGGAACUGAGACACGGUCCAA